CUAGUUGGUGUGGUAACGGCAUACCAAGGCAACGAUGGGUAGGGGUCCUGAGAGGGAGAUCCCCCACACUGGUACUGAGACACGGACCAGACUCCUACGGGAGGCAGCAGUGAGGAAUAUUGGUCAAUGGGCGCAAGCCUGAACCAGCCAUGCCGCGUGCAGGAUGACGGUCCUAUGGAUUGUAAACUGCUUUUGUACAGGAAGAAACACUCCCUCGUGAGGGAGCUUGACGGUACUGUAAGAAUAAGGAUCGGCUAACUCCGUGCCAGCAGCCGCGGUAAUACGGAGGAUCCAAGCGUUAUCCGGAAUCAUUGGGUUUAAAGGGUCCGUAGGCGGGUUUAUAAGUCAGUGGUGAAAGCCCAUCGCUCAACGAUGGAACGGCCAUUGAUACUGUAGAUCUUGAAUUAUUAGGAAGUAACUAGAAUAUGUAGUGUAGCGGUGAAAUGCUUAGAGAUUACAUGGAAUACCGAUUGCGAAGGCAGGUUACUACUAAUGGAUUGACGCUGAUGGACGAAAGCGUGGGUAGCGAACAGGAUUAGAUACCCUGGUAGUCCACGCCGUAAACGAUGGAUACUAGCUGUUCGGAGCAAUCUGAGUGGCUAAGCGAAAGUGAUAAGUAUCCCACCUGGGGAGUACGUUCGCAAGAAUGAAACUCAAAGGAAUUGACG
Molecule: ribosomal RNA, 668 nt
Filed under: uncultured Bacteroidota bacterium
Lineage: Bacteria; Pseudomonadati; Bacteroidota
Description: SSU rRNA
Rfam family: Bacterial small subunit ribosomal RNA
Source: RNAcentral